AAAAAACACCGUCUUCCUUUAAUUGACUCUCUCUCUUUUUCUGGCAAAAAAGGAAGCACCAUGCAGUUGAAGCGAGAAAAAGCUGCGAUGUCCCAGCGGUUGUUGAUGUCGUUGUACUGCUGCUGGAUCUCGACGCUGUCGAAAUCAGUCGGUGAGAUGGUGCUCAUGGUCACAGCUGGAAACUCAACAGCUGCCCUGAAAAUCAGAGAAGCACAAAAUAAGACAAUGACAAACAAACUCUUUAUUAGUGAAUGUGACAGAGGAAAGAUGGAGGAUAGGAUAUUAGUCACAUCUGCAUCACAGUUGCUGCACAUUUGGCUGCAAAGCCUUAUGCUGGACAAGGUGGGUCAAAACAUUAUAAUAUUAAAAUAUAUUUAUAACAAAAAAUAAUGUAUAAACUAUGUUCAAAUAUGGCUGAAGAAAAAAAAAAAAAAAAAAAAAAAAAAAAAAAAAGGUCAGCAGCAGACAGUAAGCGGAUGAGGUUAGUCCAGCCUGGUACAGCAAAACUGGGCCCACCUGUGGCCUGUUGCAUGAAGCCGGUUUAAGAUGCUACCCAGGUAAGUUUGAGCAAACUCUAGUUUUUCAGGCUCAAGAAGGUGGAUUGAUUUUUAGCGGGGUUCAUCGCCAUGGUGGACAUACGCUACACAGCUAACCUGCUCCAGAGGUUAUUCUGGUUUUAUUCUGGGUUAGAGAUCGCAAACCAAAACUGGACCAAUCAGCUGUGAGUAAAGUGACAUAUCUGAUUCAAUAAUGCCACACCCCCUGUAUCUCUCACUCCAAAUUAAAGCAGUUUAGAGUGAAAGAAUUUUACAGCUAAUUAUUUAUAUUAGAUUAUAAUUAUGUAUAAUUCAUAUAAUUAUUAUAUUAACUGACAAUAAAUAUUAAAGUUUGCUUUUAAAUUAAUAAAUACAAGCUUUAAUAUAUAAAACUUUUAAACCGAUUAAACUUGCAUUGAUAUAGUCAGAUAUUUUUUUUGUUUCAGCUGCCUUCUCCAACGUUUGCUGCAGCAGCAGUACUUAUGCCUGACAUUAGAACAGGGGCCAGAAUUAACAAAGGCCAAAUGGAAACAAAGAGCUUUGCUAAAUAAGUCAUUUUUUCAUUUAAAACAAAUUUAUUCUAGCCCUCACUGAUAUUAAAUAAAUAGCUUAUUUUUUAAAUAAAUAUAAAAUGUUCUUAAUUGACCCAUUUUUGGCAGAUAUGGCAAAAGUUCAUUUUGGACCCUGCAUGUGACCUUUGUGCUGCUGAAAUGUUAUGGCACAACAAAAUAUUACAAAAUGCAACAAACUUUUUUUUUUCCAUCGAGGAAAAAAAGCACAAAACAAUUCUUAGUGCAGGAAGAAAUAGUUAACAUGAAGAUAAGCUAAGAUUAAUUCAAACCUAAACCAAAACACAGAUUAAAUGAAAUCCCUCAUGCCCUCCUUCAGACUGAGCAAUCCCUCGUGCUAAUCCCACCACAAAGAUGAGUUCUUAGAAUCUAGAGAUUCUGGAAGGAAAAAGAGAAUUGCCUGUAGCGCAGAGUUUAUCCCAUAAUUGUUUCAGGGCAUUACAAACCUCCAGGGCCAGAAGAUGAGGUAAAAUGUGCAUCCCUCAUACACUGCUCUUUCUUUCUCUGUUUUGCACUGAAACAUACGCCUAGACUGUACUGUACCUAGGACACUAGACUCUCUCUGAGAUAGUAUGCAUAGCCUAGUGAAGAAAAAAAAACAAUACCAAAACUUAUUUAAAAUACAUUUAUUUCAUACUAAGUAUACUAUAAAAUACAUUACCAUAUUUACUGACAUAAUGCUUAAGACUUAUUGGUAUAAAUAUUAUAAUUAAACUUUAUUUAGAGUACAUAUCCCUUUGUUUCAGCAAAUUCAGAGCAUCAGUGCAACUUCAGAUGAAGUUGAUGGCUCCAAACCUAGUGAGCAUUUUAAGAAAGCAAAGAAAGACACGCCAAAAUUAUUGCUUUUUUCUAAGAAACAUUUAAAAUUUUAAGGCAGCAUUGCAUGUAUCCUUUGCAGAGAAUGCAAUACCAUAAUGCAGUCUGACAAGCUUAGUGGGGGAAAAAAAAAAAUCUACCCAAGAUGACAAAGUGGGAGCAAUGUUGAUUAUAAAAUAAUCAUUUAACUGGAUUUCUGUAAAUAUGUAAUUUUACGAUUGAAGUAUUGUAUUUUUAGCUUACCAACAUGCUAAAACCAACUCCAAACAAUUAAGUUUGGAGUCUCCUGUUUACUUCUGUGUGCUAUCUGUAGGUUGUUUUUGUAUGUCCCCUAUGUAGAACAUUUCUAAAUCAGUCCCUUAUAAGGUUUUACUUCAUUUCAGCUACCUUAGAUGUUGGCAGUAGACAGCAAGGCACCUCAAUAGGUGGAACAGAGCCAGCGUGUGCAUCCUUUCAUGCAGGGUCCAGCUUUAAUCCACUCGCCUCACCCUGAGCAUCACUUCACCGACAGCUCCAUCAGUCUUAAGGGGAGCAGGAAGGGUGGGGGGCUGGACUCUAGAGGAUACAAAAGGCCUUCCAGGGACACACAAACAAAAGGAACCCCAGGUUGACUUGGCAGGAGUGUUUGGGAAAUCUGUAGGUGCCAUAACUAUACACUGCAGCUUUAAGAAUACUGACUACAUAUGUGGGUGUCACCAUCAAGAUUGUCUUCAUACGAACAUAUACAUAGUGAAAACACACACUGAAUCAAUCAAACUCAAGGGUUAAACAAGUAAAAGAUAUAGAUGGACAGACUUGAUGGACGGACAGACAGACAGAGUGUAUAUGUUGCAUCAUUAUAUGGUCUGAGAAGACAGAAAACAAGUAUAUUUCUGUGAUACAGCUCAAUGAAUGUGUGUGAGCGGUAGUUUGUGUGCAUGUGGCACACACAGCAAGAUAAACCCAUAUUUUGGAGGGAUCUCAAGCCAAACAAAGAAAGAAGGAGGGCUGUUUCAAAUCCCAUUAGCGUGUAGAAUAAGGAAGUGCUGAAAAUAGAGACUGGACAUAGAGCAGUUAUCCUGGAUUACACCCACACACUCCUCUAGCGCCUCAGUUACUGACACAACACACACACACACUCUCUCCUGUCAAAUAUCUAUCAGCCAUGUUACUAAAAUCAGCAUUUUGAUUUGCUCAGCUCUCAGCAGCAGUUUCAUAACACCAGUGACAGAUGCUUCAUAUCACUGUGUUUCAAUGAAACAGGGUUUCAUGCAUUGUUUUAGGUUGUUCAUAAUUUACACCUAGUUGCACUUUAUGACCAUAAAAAUGAUUGUACAGCAAAUUUAACAAAUUGUGGAGCAUAUUUUAACGUAUUUUGUCUUAAGUGUGAAACCCUGUCUGACAGAGUCUUUGAUGAGUAUUAGUAUUUCAGAUUUUUCCUUUCUGUAUUUCAGUUACCCGAUUCAUAAAUGAUGAGCUAAUUUAUAACAACUUUAUUUUUUUCAGACAUAAUAAAGUUUCAGUUAUAUCUUGGCAAA
Molecule: long non-coding RNA, 3438 nt
Organism: Ctenopharyngodon idella (grass carp)
Lineage: Eukaryota; Metazoa; Chordata; Actinopteri; Cypriniformes; Xenocyprididae
Exons: 4
Source: RefSeq, a predicted model, not a curated record